Molecule: small RNA, 1413 nt
Filed under: Pongo abelii (Sumatran orangutan)
Lineage: Eukaryota; Metazoa; Chordata; Mammalia; Primates; Hominidae
Description: processed transcript
Source: RNAcentral
CAGAACUAGCAGAACUUGUCCCCAUGGAAUACGUUGGCAUACCAGAAUGCAUAAAACAGUAUGAAGAAGAAAAGUUUAAAAAGAAACAAAAAAGAGACGGAGUUUUGCCACGUUGCCCAGGCUGGUCUCGAAUUCCUGGUCAAGCAGUCCGCCUGCCUCGGCCUUCCAAAGUGCUGGGAUUAUAGGUAGUUGAUCAAGAACUUAAUGGAAAACAAGAUGAACCGAAAAAUGAACAGUAAGUUUGGCAUCUAGUCCAAACAAGACUGAAGAAUGUGCUGAUGGAGCAGUGCUGUUUUUGCAUUCAUAAUGCAUUUAUUGGCCCAUAUUUUUAUGUAACCUGUUACAAAAUCGACUUGACUUUUUCAUAAUGGACUUUUGUAUUGUACAAGGGACUGUUCACUGCUGUAUUGGUUUGCAAAUUUCUUGAAUUUAGCUCUUUAAUAGCUAACUAUAUUAUUGUUUUAUAUUUUAUAUUGCUAAAUAGAGAACCACACUUUAUAUAAAGCAGUUUUUGCAUUUGUUUAUUGAAUGAUGCAUCUUCUUCGGUGAAAUAUUUAUAUGCAUAAAUGGCAAAGGAAAGAAAUAAUAUAUAUUUUUAUGUUAUUGAGCAAUAUUUUUUAAUGUGUACCUGUCUUAUGGAAGAAAUAUGCAGGUAUAUAAGACCACGAUUUUGUAAAGUGCAUAUUAGAAUUUUUGUUUUUGUAAAUGGUUAAAUACAUUUCCUGGGUAACUUAGAAAAUUAAGUUUCUCAUAAGGCAACAGAUGGUUAAACUGAUUCUCAUGAAUACCCAAAGAUCAUGUAUAUAAUCGAAGUGUAUUAGUACCAUCCCAAGGUUUUUUUCUCAUUUAACAUAUAUUGUUUCAUAAUUCAGCAAGUACAAAUGCAAGCGCAUUGCACACUUUUUCCUUUCUAAACUUAAAGACAAGUCAAAAAGCCAUUUUUAGAACUAGAGGAUUUAAGAAGGUAGGAAUUAGGGUUUGUAUAUAUGUAUAUAUGGGACAUUUUAUCUUCUGGCCCAAAGUCAGAACUUUAUAAAAAUCUUGAGUUUGUUCACUAAUGUGAAAUAAGCUAUGUGUCCAGGGUAUUGCUCCCCUGAGUGUGUGUGAGUGCUGAGUAGUAUUGCAGAGAAUGUGAUGAGUUACUGUCACAACUUUUUCUAUAGAAAACAGGGGCUGCUUUUUAAACUGCUCUCACUAUGGGCACUUUACCAAAAUACUUCCAUAUCAAUUAUUUGAACUCAGUAGUUGUUUGACCUAGUUAGAUGUAGUGUUUAUUCAAGUUUGUAUGAAAUCAUGUUUGACAAUACUGUAAAUUAGGUUAAUUUUGUAAGUCUUAGCAUCAUUAUAUUGUGCUGUUUUGGAUAACACGUUUGUUACAAGCAUUUAAACUGUUUCAUUUGGUAAGUACCUUUA